Molecule: ribosomal RNA, 634 nt
Filed under: Microbacteriaceae bacterium SM31
Lineage: Bacteria; Bacillati; Actinomycetota; Actinomycetes; Micrococcales; Microbacteriaceae
Description: bacterial SSU rRNA
Rfam family: Bacterial small subunit ribosomal RNA
Source: RNAcentral
CGUAACUGACGCUGAGGAGCGAAAGGGUGGGGAGCAAACAGGCUUAGAUACCCUGGUAGUCCACCCCGUAAACGUUGGGAACUAGUUGUGGGGUCCAUUCCACGGAUUCCGUGACGCAGCUAACGCAUUAAGUUCCCCGCCUGGGGAGUACGGCCGCAAGGCUAAAACUCAAAGGAAUUGACGGGGACCCGCACAAGCGGCGGAGCAUGCGGAUUAAUUCGAUGCAACGCGAAGAACCUUACCAAGGCUUGACAUAUACGAGAACGGGCCAGAAAUGGUCAACUCUUUGGACACUCGUAAACAGGUGGUGCAUGGUUGUCGUCAGCUCGUGUCGUGAGAUGUUGGGUUAAGUCCCGCAACGAGCGCAACCCUCGUUCUAUGUUGCCAGCACGUAAUGGUGGGAACUCAUGGGAUACUGCCGGGGUCAACUCGGAGGAAGGUGGGGAUGACGUCAAAUCAUCAUGCCCCUUAUGUCUUGGGCUUCACGCAUGCUACAAUGGCCGGUACAAAGGGCUGCAAUACCGUGAGGUGGAGCGAAUCCCAAAAAGCCGGUCCCAGUUCGGAUUGAGGUCUGCAACUCGACCUCAUGAAGUCGGAGUCGCUAGUAAUCGCAGAUCAGCAACGCUGCGGUGAA